CUCUAGAAUAUGCUUGUUCUAAUCAAGAUGAUGUCAAACUGUAAUAGAUUUUACUUAGUUGCUUGCCAUUUUCCUCGUUUGUCUUUUAAAUACCAACUUGACCAACCUGAUCAAGUCAGUGGGCAGUGUUAAGGUUUCUAUGCAGAAGAUGGGGAACACCAAGAGGGCUGCAGAAUGAAAACCAAAGUCCUCCCUGAAAUUUGCUACUUGCUCGUAACUCACAGAAAGACAAAAAUUACAAAUAAAACAUUAAAAAUAAAAAUCAAGAGAGACUCGUGAAACCAACACAAGACAAAACCCUCACCGGGCAAAAGCUGCAACUUCAUGGAAAAUAAGUUGGAGGUGGGGGGGACGAGGGGGGUCCGGAGCUGAGCGGGGCUCUUGUGCAAUCACUCCAAGGCGAACAGCUGGAGCGCCAAGCUGCCGCGCUCGCCACCUCUGGAGCACCGCUGGCCUGGCGGGGAGCCCGGCCUCGCCAACACGACUCCGGGCCGGCCUUUCCGAACAAUGGGCAGGCGCUCUGCGAAGGCCGCCCCUCAGACAGCUAUCUUUUCAGCAGGGCUUGCCCGGGUCUGCUUAAACUGGGAAGUGAAGCAUGCAAAGGCUGAGAGGGAGGCGGAGGCAACCGAGAGGAGCAAGCAGGGACAGGCGAGGCGAGCCGGCCGUCAAAAACGGAGACCGAGGCUGAGCUCAAGAUCACACUAGGAAAUGACUGAUCCAGAAAAACGUCUUCAGUUGGCCAACUUCCAGACAGAAAAAUUGUCUCCAACGUGCUGUUGAGCCAUAAGUUAUGUCUUUAUUACAUCCCAGAGGGAAGAAGUUGAGUGGAAAAGAUUCCACAGUUUAACUAUGAGAGGACGUUACACAUUUCAGUGGAAGAAAAAAAUUUUCAUCAAAAGCUAAGUAGAUAAAUUAAAGAUGCUAUAAUAAGUCUUGGGAUAUAGGCUGUGCAUUUGUUUUGCUUUGUUUUUAAAAUCAAUUAAAGAUACUAAAUCUGUAUACCAGAUGCUGAAGUAGGACUCACUCAACUCAGUUUUGCCUUUCCCAUCUGAAGUCAGUCAGUCUUUAGGGUAGCUGAUUGCUUUUGGAGUCUGGAGGUGAGGGAGAGCUGGCAGGGACAGACGGAAGAGAAGAGAGAAGAUCCAGGGACAGUGACUGCAGACUCCCUGAGGAAGUCUCGGGAUGUACAAUAUGGGAAAGUGCCAAAAUCCUAAGCUAGAAAACAAAGCAAAACCAAACCAAACCCCAGCAUGGGGAAAUAAAAGGAAGUUCUACACUGAACAGAGUGCACAGAAGCAUCUCUUUAUGUGAAGAGCAGUAGAGUUUUGUGGCCUGAACACACAAUUACAUAGAAUUUAGUAAUACAAAAGCUACUAUUUAUUGAAUGCUUUUUAACAAAUAGGACUUUAAUAAGUAGUACUGUGCUUAAUAUCUUACAGAGAUUAUUUUAUUCGAUCCUCACACAGUUGACACAAUUAUAGACUGUGUUCCAUUUUGCAGAUGAGGAAAUGGAAACAUUAAUCAGUUGCCUACUAAGUGGGCCAACAAUCUGACUGGAAUCUAGAAUUCUUCCUCCCCCUUGCAAUAUCAAUGGUUUUGAUGAGGGUUCUUGCUUGCAAGCAACAAAAUGAACUCUGGUUAUCUAAAGGAAACAAAAAUGUUGAAGGAAAGGGGGCUCAUAGACUCUGAGAGGCUGGAAGAACAGGCUUAGGAAACAAGGAAGAACCCAGGGCCUAAGGAGGCCAGGCCAUAGGAACACUCUAUCCAAGAUGACACCAUCUCUGCUUCUGCUGCACCACACCUUCUAGAAAUGACUACUGGACAUCAUGCU
This is a long non-coding RNA of Cervus hanglu yarkandensis (Yarkand deer), 1831 nucleotides long. Lineage: Eukaryota; Metazoa; Chordata; Mammalia; Artiodactyla; Cervidae. The record is from Ensembl.